GGGGGCUUCUCAUCCUUCACCGCCGCCGCAGCCACCGCAGCGACCGCGGAGGGCUUCUCCUCCUUCGCCGCCUCCUUCGCCGCCGCCGCAGCCACCGCAGGGGCCAUCGGGAAGAAAGACAGGGGGAUUGGAGAUGGCUUCUUAGAGGGUGAGAUUCUUUUAAUUGUUUGGGUUGGAUGGUUGCCGUGCUGUGAUGUAGCUUGGGAAUGAUAUCUCUUGAUGAUCCUAUAUAGGUUGCUAAUUUUUGGCUUUAAUGAGAACAACCAUAAGGAAAUGGUUGGAAUUGUUGGUUUAUGUACUAGUGUGAAUAGAAGCUUGUUUUUUGAAGGGAAAUUACUUACUUGAGAAUGAUGAGCUUGAUCUUCCAAAUAUAUCGUUUAGUCAGUUUUAUAUUCAGGACAUAAGAAAAAUACUGUGGCUUCCCGUCAAGGUAAUCCAUGCAUUUAUGAUGUUCUUUACCAUUUUGCUCUUAGUCCUCUAACUCAAAGCCUUUUUAUGUGAUCUUGGAUUGAUGAAAGUUCUCUCUCACGCAAUUAUGGUUAUUACUCUAAUAAUUGAUAGUAGUUAAUUUCUGAGUUUUAUGACAAAAAAUAGUGGUUGAAAAUCACUGCUCAUUUAUUUAGAAACCUUGAUCCGCAGAUAUAGGUUGUGGGUCUCUGCUGUAAAUUAGGAACUCCCACAUGCUUGUCAAUGUUGUAGAUGUUUAGCUUUCAAAUAAUAUUCUUAUUCAUCCACUUCCUUUUUCUUUGUCAGCUCCCUAUGUGUGGAGUUCUCUACUAAGUAUUAUUUACAAUGCUUAUGUAAUCUCAGUACCCAUUUCAUUUAGUAAUAAAGUUGACCGUCUUAUCUUUCUGUAUUUUUCUUGAUUAAGCUAUAGGUCCCUAAAUUUGAAAAUGCUCUUGGUAUCAAAGUGAUAUGCAUAUGUUAUCAUUCUAACUUGAUGACCAUUUGUUGGACAAUGAAGCUGUAAUCUCAAUUUCAACAGUUUCAACACUUCUGUUUAGAAGGUUUAUCUGGAAUAGUAUUUAUAGCUUUACAUUAUUUGCUUGAUAAACAGAGGAUUGUUUUAGCAGUGUUUUGGAG
RNAcentral lists this long non-coding RNA (1083 nucleotides) under Phoenix dactylifera (date palm). Its description in RNAcentral is "long non-coding RNA (PDAC_LNC010899)". The record is from RNAcentral. Lineage: Eukaryota; Viridiplantae; Streptophyta; Magnoliopsida; Arecales; Arecaceae.